GCACUGCUGAGGAGUCCCAUACUAAGACGAAACGGCCGUCCAAUGC
Molecule: non-coding RNA, 46 nt
Organism: Schistosoma curassoni
Lineage: Eukaryota; Metazoa; Platyhelminthes; Trematoda; Strigeidida; Schistosomatidae
Source: Rfam